This 5702-nucleotide long non-coding RNA is filed under the name Phoenix dactylifera (date palm). RNAcentral's name for it is "long non-coding RNA (PDAC_LNC010971)". Lineage: Eukaryota; Viridiplantae; Streptophyta; Magnoliopsida; Arecales; Arecaceae. The record is from RNAcentral.
CAGUCACAGCAGGGUUCUGCGCAAGCUAGCACUUCCGCGGGAUCAGAUCAACCCGGAGCUUCGCGUGGAUCAUUCAUAGAGGUCAGACACGUGUGUGGCUACGAGGCUUGACUUUCAGAUCUUCAAAUCCAACCUCUUCAUCAUAAGGUAUGAGAUUUAUUUUAUCUUAGUUAGGUUUAGAACUUAACAAGUAUUGCUGAUUUUCUAAUUCUAUGAUUAAUCAUGCUUAUAGUUAUUUUUACAUAAAUAGUUUAAACGUUUCUGUAAUUUAUUUUUGAGAUAUGAUCUCCCUUGCAUGCUUGGAAUUAAAGAGUUUAAUUCUAUCUUUCCACUGCAUUUUUUUGAAAAUUUUUAAAAUUACAUGCAUGCAAAAACCGGCUUUUUCCUUUCAUCCACUCGUCAGUGACUUACUUAAUGCUGCAGUUGUAUGACUGGUCCUUUGAUCUGCGAUGCCUCGGCUAUUCACAGUGAGGUUGCUGUAGUUUGACGAGCACAUAAACAUGGGCCCUAUCCAUUUGGGUCCUUGUGAUGCAGAUUGACUGCAGUAGGUUCAUUGUAGGAGUAGGAGUACAUCUAGAUGGAAUCUAUCGAUCUUGAUAGAUUAGGAGAGAUCCUAUGUGAUUUGUGAGACUGAGUUCGUAAAUCCUUGGCUAAGGUAGUUUUUAGAAAAAGAGUUUUCCAAUCUCGAACUGGAGUCGAAUAAAUUUUACAUAUGACAGAUGAUGGGGUUUGAUGAGUUAUCCAUGACCUCCAUCCUGUCAGGAUCCACGAUAGAGGGAUUGUAUCAUACGCUAACUACACCUAGAGGUUCAUCUAUUCUAUUCUACUGGGUUGCCACUACAUGCUGCUACAUGUCACUGGUGGAUUGUGAGACUCAGAAGCAUUCACUUGAUGAUCAGUGAAUCCGAAUGAGAAGAGUUGGAAUUGUUCCAACCCAUUGAAAGAAGUUUCAAUGAUAUUGUGAUAGGGAUCAUAAUAUAUCUCACUACCAGACAGAAUAGAACCUAUGGGGUCGCACACAAUAGAGGAUCUGAUUGAUCUAAUGGUUGGAUUGUGAUUUCGAAUCACAAUAGUUUGUAAUUGUCAAUUUGAUUGAUAAUUAAUUUAAUCCACUAAGAGUUAGUGAGUUGAAGAAGGAAUUAAUUAUAAUUGGAUUGCAAUUUAAUUGAAUCAAUUGGACUUAAUUAAUUGGGCUCAAUCUUAUAUGAUAAGGUUCAAGAGUCCUACUUGGAGUAGGACACCUCUAAAGUUCUAAUUGGAUUAGGACUAAAAUUGUAUGAGUCCUAAUUGGAUUAGGACUCCUAGAGUCCUAAUUAAUUAUUGAUCUAAUAGAUGAAGAUGACUCCUAAUUAGAUUAGGAUUGAAGAGUUCAAUUGAGUCAUGAUCCAAUUGGGUCCUAAUUAGAUUAGAACUAAUAUGGAUAAGGAUUGGAUUCACCUAAUCCUCUUUAGAGGAGGAUUUCAGCAUCCAAUCAAAGGAGUCCCCACGCCCCACUUGAUUUGAUCAAGUGGGGCGUGCUCCCGAGAUCCACAUCUCGGAUGGCCGGGACGUGCAUCCCGAAUGGUUGGGACUCGCGUCCCAGGUGUCCGGGAUGCGAGACCCGGCUGGGGCAUGGCUCCUCCUAAUUUUAAGGAGGAGGCCACGCCUAGGGCAUCAAGAUGAAAAAGAAUAAAAAAGGGGCCAGCCCCCUUGGAAAAAAGACUCUUCUUUUCAUCAUGGCGGCCAUCUCUCCCUCUCUUCCUUCUUCCAUCCGCAAAGGCAAAGGAAAAGGGCAGCGAGCAUGGUUCUCCUUCUUCCUAUUCUUCAUCAGCCACAUGGAAGAAAACAUAGAGAGGUAGGUGUUCCUCUCUUCCCUCCUUAUUCUUCCAUGGUAAAGAAAAGGAGAAGGCGUUUCUCCUUCUCCUUCUUCCUUCUCUUGGAAGCAAUCAAGAGUUGAUUGCUUGGAGGAGUUCCAACCAUCAAAGAGGGAUCUCUGCAAGGGAGCUAGCACCCCGAUGAGAUCAUGACCUUGAUCGAUCCAGAUCUUCGUGUGGAUACCCGUAGAGGCCGAACGCUUAUGCAGCUUCAAAUGAACCCAAUUUUCAUGGUCAUCAGAUAGCGGUGAAGAUCUACCCGCUCAAAGAUAAAGAUUUAAUCUUUACAAUUAUUUUUGUAGAUCUGAAAAUUAAUCAAAUAAUUAAUUUUAACCUAUCCUUUAGAUUUAUAAUCUUUUGAGUUAGAGAACUCCGAAUUUUUGAAAUCUAUGUUCCUAGGGACGUUCAUGAGAUGAACGACCCCGCGCGUGUUUUUCCGCUGCGAUCGUCGCAACGCAUGCGGGGGUAACCCGAUAGUGGUAUCAGAGCCGUGUUUAUGGAAUUUAGAUUAAAAUUGAUAGGCUUGAUUAGGAUUUAAUUUAGAUCUGAAAAAUUUAUAUGCUUGCUGAAAUUUCUGCGUGCUGAAAUUUCAGAUUUCAGCAUGCAGAUUUUUGUUUAGAAAAUCUAGAUCUUGCAUGUUUAAUUUUAAUUGCAAUGAAAUUGCAAUAAUUAAAAUCAUAUCUUGCAUGAUCAGAAUUUCAGUUGAUGGUAUAUUUAAUUAAAAUUUCCAGAUCUGAAAUUACAUAAGAAGUAUGUGAUAAGAUUCAAUCAAAGAUUCAUGAUCAUAAAAGAUAAAUUUCUAUUUAUGCCUAGGCUUAAAAAGAAAUUGAUAUUUGCAUGAUAUGCAUAAGAUAUGAUCAAAUCAUAGAAUCAUGUUUAUUAACGGACAAUUUUGUUUAGGAUUGUGCUUAAAAAGAAAAUUAAUAUAUGCGUGAGAUGUAUAUAUAUGUUAAGCAAUGUUUACAUGGGAUGUAAAUAAAACCCAAAUAGGUUAGGUCAUUUACAUAAGAUGUAAACCUAAACUAAUAUGUCAUUUACAUGAGAUGUAAACACAUAACAUAUGAAAGAGUUUCAUGUUCACAUAAGAUAUAAACCUAAACAAAUAUGUCAUUUACAUAAGAUGUAAAUGCAUAACAUAAGAAAGGAGUUUCAUAUUUACAUAAGAUGUAAACCCUAAUCGAAACCUAAAUCGAUUAAAACCUCCUCAAUCAGUCGAGAGUGAAUGAUAUAUUGAGCUAGCCAUAUUUGAUUAAUUGUUCUAAUUGGUGUCUAGGAAAACAUUAAAGGUGGUUACUUAAUUAUGACCUUACUCUCUGAGUUAGGAGAGCCUCCCACCUGCUUACCUGAUCAAUUGAUCGAUUAUCACCUAUGAAGAGCUCAAAGUUGGAAUCACUAAGACUAGAUUACCUAAUAUCAAGUCUAGAGGUCUUCCACCGUAGUAGAGCUGCUAAGGUCUUUCCGGCGUUGAUUUUGUUAGAAGUAUGCCCUAGAAGCCAACAUGGCUGAUGCAUAUUUGUAAUCUGGGGCAUAAAUUUGUAAUUUGACUCUUAUUAAUAAAUAAGAUUGGGCAAUUUGUUUUUCAUUCAUGUUUUGUAUGUGUCCAUGAAUCGUCCAAGAAAUUAAUAGAUGAUGACACAUAUUCUUAAAGGAGUUGAGAUUUUGAGGCAUGUGUCAUUAGGGAUUAAUUUCUAAAUGCUCCUGAUCGAUGGAUCCAUCACGAGGAACGGUGAUCGAUCCGCUGAGAUUAGUACACAGAUCACUUAGUCAGAUGGACGAGUCUCGAGUCCAUGGUGUAGGGACACUAGAGUGAUUAUGCAAGUACUUGUUAGAGAACAAAGUACUGAGCAUGACCAAAGAUAGUAGUCACAUGGAUGUCUAUCCACUCGUCAGUGACUACUUAUGCUGCAGUUGUAUGACUGGUCCUUUGACCUGUGAUGCCUCAGCUAUUCACUAUGAGGUUGGUGUAGUUUGACGAGCAUGUGAACUUAGGCCCUAGCCAUUCGGGUCCUUGUAGUGCGGAUUGGCUACAGUAGGUUUAUUUUGGAAUAGGGUUGCAUCAAGAUGGGAUCUAUCGAUCUUAAUAGAUUAGGAGUGAUCCCAUGUGAUUUAUGAGACUGAGUUCGAUAAAUUCUUGGCCAGAUAUUUUGGAAAAAGAGUUUUAUAUAUCUCGAACUGGAAGUCGUAUAAAUUUGACAUAUGACGGACGAUGGGGUUUGACGAGAUAUUCAUAACCUCCAUCACGUCGGAUUUCAUGAUAGAGAGACUGUAUCAUACGCUAACUGCACCUAGAGGUUCAGACAUUCCAUUCUGCUGGGUUGCCACCAUAUACUGCUAGGUAUCACUAGUGGAUUGUGAGACUCGAAGGCAUUUACUUGGUGAACAGUGAACCCUGAGAGUAGAACUGAAAUCAUUUCAGUCCACUGAAAGAAGUUUCAAUGAUAUUGAGAUGGAGAUCUUAAUAUGUCUCACUACCAGUCAGAAUAGAACCUACGGGGUCACACACAUAGAGAAUUUAAUUAGUCAGACUAUCAUAAUUGUGAUUUGGAAUCACAAUAGAAAUCAAUCAUCGAUAUGAUUGGUGAUUGAAUUAACCCACUAAGUGUUAGUAAGUUAAUGAAAGAAGAAUUAAGUGGAAUUGAUUGCAAUUGGAUUGCAAUUGGGCUGAUUUAAUGAGCCAAAUCAAAUUGGGUUCGGCCCAAAUUGAUUUGGGUUCAUGAUUGGGUCAAUUUGAUUAAACCAAGAUUUAUGCGGAUUUUAAAGACCAUAUGUCAUCGUAGGAUGAAUAUGACUUAAGUCAUGUUCACACUAUGCGAACUUUAAAGUUCACAUGGCGUCGUAGGAUGCAUGCUCCCUGAUGAGAGCACAAAAGUGCGAUCUAAGUACCAAUUAACUUAGCCUAAUGCUAGCAAAAUAAUGAUAAAUAAUAGGUGUUAACAUUUGCAUGAUUAAUAUUUUAUCUUUAGCACUUAUUAUAGUUUUUAUCAUUAUUCUGUAUAAAUUCAUCUAAAAAGGAUGCAUCUUCCCAACUGUAGAAUAGAGUCCACGACUCUUCUUCUGCGCACCCGAGCGACUUUCCAAAUUUCGUGAUGCAACUCAAGCUUCCAGCCAUCUGCAGUCAAUUGACUUUGUGAUUCCAAAUCAGCAUCAUCCCAAGCGCCAGCAUCAGUUGUUUUUUCAUCUGCACCGUCCACGUCUGCCUCUUCCAAGCUUCAAUCCCGCAUCCAUCCGCUUCUCCUGCACCAUCACAGCAUCCGUGAAGCGUGCCAAGCCGUCCACGAUCAUCCCCAUUCCAUGCGCCUCCCAUGCUUCAGCCCGUGAUCACCCCCCAACAUCAGCGAUCUUCCGGAGUCUCAGAUCCACGGCGUCCGAGCAUCUUCUCCUACGAGCAAUCUUCCGUGAUCAUCCCGCGAUCAUCUCCUAGCCGUCCGCCUCCUCCAUCACGUCCGUUCUCGGCGACGGAUCCGGCUGUAAUCAGCUCCCGCAGGUCCCGCAUCCACUUUCCUCCUUCGCUCCAACGUGAUUUGCUUGGAAGAUUAUUCAAUAUUUAGGGAGGUUUUCAUUGUAUAAAAAGGGGAAACGGUGGCUCAUUUUGGGGGGAAGAAGAGGAAGAAUAGAGGAGCGGCCGGCCUCUUCGAUUCAAACAAAAACAGGGGCUGUGGUUGAAAGAAACAAAAAAAAAGGGGAGAAGGAAGAAACAGGGGAUGCCCUGUUCUUCCGAAAAGAAUAGAAUAAGAGAGGGAAAGGCUAAUAUUUUAAUGGAGGGUUGAUUUCUUAGGUGAAGGAUGAUGGAGGAACCUUUGAUGUAUUGCGCUUUCUUUGAAGUAAAUUCUGAACCUUCACUCUUAUAGA